UUGAAAAUCCUACAGCUCAAGGAUUGUCCAUUCCUUAGAAGGACGCCCAAGUUCUUUGCAAUCUCGCAAUUGGAGAAAUUGAUUCUUAGAUGCGGUCGACUAAGAAAGAUUGACAAGUCCAUUGGCAAUCUACAACAUCUUGAUUACCUAGAGAUAAAGAGUGAAGUUAUUGAGUCGCCACCGGAGUCCAUCGACGGUCUAAAAUCUUUGAUAGUGCUAAGAAUAUAACAAACACCCUCAAUGAAGCCUCACUCGAUUGGCAAUUUAGCAAAGGUGAAGUCUCUAAUCUUGCCAUGCAAGGAACUUCAAAAGCUUCCCGACUCUAUCGGACAAUUGGAGUCACUACUUAAGCUAGAUGUCCAAUAUUUAAAAAUUAGUGAAUUGCCUCAUUCUAUUGGAAAUCUUGAAAGGUUGAAAAUUUUACGCAUUUGGAAUUCCUAUCUAGAAAAUUUACUAGACUCGAUUAGGAGGCUCCAAUCAUUGGUCAAGUUGGAUUUGAGCGAUUCAAGAAUCGGGAGCUUACCUGAUUGUAUUGGAAAUCUCAAAAAGUUGAAGAUACUAAAUCUCAAUUAUAGUUGCAUAAGUGAACUUCCGAAAACCAUAGGAAUGUUGGAAAAUCUAGAAGAGUUAGAUGCCUACUCUGAACAUCUAGUGGGGGAAAUUCCAAGUGAAAUCGGGGCACUAUCCUCAUUGAAAUAUCUAUACUUAGGCAACGGUCGCUUUAGUGGAUUGCCCACAAUGAUCAAUCAACUUACAAAUCUCCAGCGACUUUAUUUAUAGGACCGUAAUUCAAUCCAACAGCUGCCAAAGCUUCCCAAGAGUCUAAUGUUUUUAACCCUUACAUCGGAUUCACUGACCACGAUCCCCGACUGCUCAAACCUAACCAAUUUAGUUGACCUUACGAUAAUUGGAUAUUCAAUUGAAGAACCCAACACAGAGGGGAUCGUGAGACUACCUGCUUUGAAACGAAUGGUCCUACGCGUUGGAAAAAUGGCCUUGCCUCCGACCAAUUUCAGUUCCCUCUCUCAACUACGAAGCCUCAGCAUAAAUUAUGUUGAGCCCCAAUCUCUUAUCGGGCUCCCAUCCAGCCUUCAAGAUUUGUGGUUAUGCGAUGUCCAGUCACCGAUAGAUUGGUCAGUCUUUUCCAACUUGGAGAAUUUGUCGACGCUGUCUAUUAAUGAAUAUUCGCUGAGAGAGAUUCGAUUCGAGGUGCUUGGAGAGCUACGGAAAUUCAAUGAAUUGUGGAUGUCCGACUGUCCAUUGCUCAAGACGCUGCCCGUUCUGCCUGGUUUGAAAGAGAUCUAGUGUUUGUCCCUGGAUCGAUUGCCUUAGCUAACAGAGAUUCAGGGUUUGGGAGAAUUGAAAUCAUUGCAGGAUUUGUGUAUUUGAAAAUGCAAUUCCAUCAAAAGCUUAAACGAGUCUGAUCUUUCUAAUCUACAAAAUCUGAAAAGUUUGAGGUUUUGGCGAUGUGAAUCAUUGGAGAGGGUGCUGGGUGUGCCAAAAUCUUGUCGACUCAAGGUCGAUUAUUGCCCGAGGUUCAAUAGAGAUGGAUAAGAUAUGUAUCAUUUGAUUGGCAAAGAUAGUCGAUGAUGGUAAGUCAAUAGAAUUAGAGUUCGUUUUUUGUUGUGUCAUGUUUUGUAAGUUUUCCUUCAGCUAACCUUUCGUCUUGGUUCUAGAACCACCUCUUGCAUUCGUUCAUCCUGUUGUCUUUGAGGAAAAAUCCUCUUUCAUGUGAACGUGUGAUACUUUGACUUGCCUACUUGACGAUGGUGAUACCUAGCUAUUUUACGUUGCACGCCAGCAUAACGUUGGGAUUGACAUGCUUCACGGCACCUGUUUUGUUUAGAAAAUAUGGAUAAAGUGGAAGGGAACUUUUAGAUAGUAAGCACACUAAAGAUGCUGACAAAUGCCGGGUUUUGUUGUAAGGCUGAGGUGGUUGAGACUUGAGAGUACUGGUCUCAUCUUAUGGAGUGUUUUUUUUAAAUUAGUAGAGAACAAUCAUGAUUUAUGAGGACUGAAAUAAAGGAAUUAUUGCUUGGUUAGCAGAAGAGUGAAUCGUUGAUACCUAUUAUGCAAUAUGAGUGAUUUAGUUAUUUCCUUCACGAAGAAUUGGAGGUGUUUUUUUGGUUACUUUUGAGCUGAAGUGGAGAAGCUUCAAGUCUUGAGUCACGGUGUGAUUUGUGAACUAUCUUUCUUCAUUCUAGUAUUUAGCCAUUUAUGCGUGAAAUUCGUGCUACGAGACAAUUGAUAUUGGAGCAAAGUUGUCUCUAUGGUAAAACCACUAUUUCUUUCAAGACUAGGUUUAGCUGCAUCGAGUUGUGCAUUUUGCAAUUUCUGGUGUUAGGAAAGAGGACCUUCGUGUCAUUGAAGACUAGAUUUUGUUAAUUUUUUUAGCUGACUCAUUGCACCUUUCCUCAUCUCUCUUUUUUUGUGCUUAUAAUGUGGUUACUGUUAACUUGUUAAAUAAACAUGUUUGAUCUAUGUGUCUAUCAUUUUUACAUUUGCUGAUAAAACGUUUUUGCGCAAGCUCCUCCAGGACCAUGGUGAAAUGUUCUUUUACAUGGACAUCUAGGCUUUGGCAAGACAUAUUGUUGGUGCUACAACAACGACUUGUUCUCUUGAAUCCAUAUUAGUAAAAGGGUGAGCUAUGGAUAAGUACAUUGGUACUUUUUAGCAACCUGUACAAGGUUUCUUUUCAACUAUGUGGAUGUUUAUUGAGUUUUAUUAUGCAAUCUUCUAAUGAACUUUGUUAUUUCCAUAUAUUUCACAAUUUUGUGCUCUCUUCUUUUGCUUUUGUAUGCAUUUAAUAGAGGUCCCUUCAUCUAUGCCAUCAGUUGAAAUAGGAUAACUAGCAGUAGCAAUGAGGAUCCUACCACUGCAGCCAAGAUGUUCUAAUUAUAUUAGUUUAAACAACAACAAUGAGGAUUCUCCCAUAACCAAUGAAGAGGCCAAGUUAAAAUGGUUCUUGAGUUUUCUCACACAUGAAUGACAGAAUCCUCUGUGAAGAUUAAAAGAAAGAUUAAGAUGUAAGAUAUUUGAAGUUUUUCUCUCCUAGAAAUUUGAAAUUUAUGAUCAAAUGUCUAUUGGAUCAUCUGUUCAACACAUUGGCAGCAUUGAUUUUGUGAACAAACUAGAGAAAUUUUGAAUAUUUGAGAGUAUUCGCAAUUUUAAAAUUAUAGGUUCAGAUAUAUUCUCGAAGGCAACGGCUAUAGCACCUUUACUCCUCUUUUUUCAUGAAUUUGAUUCCAUUGUGCUGAAGAGGGGGCAUGAUAAUACGGGGUCACUGACCAUGUCAUCAAUCAGUUAGUUCUUGCAUUCAAUGACACUUAUAAAGUGGUCGUGUGAAAUAUAGUUGAUGGCAUGACUCACUAAUAGUAUGUCAUUCAUUGGUGCAGUUUUUUUACUGAAUUGGAUGAUGUUGAAGUUUAAAGUGGUGUGUUUGUGUCAGUAGGGACAAGAUAAUAAUUUCGUCUUACAUAGUAACAAAAAGUACUCUCUUUACAUAGCAUACUAACUAUAAACUACUGUUGGAAAUUGCAUGGCCAUUAUGAAUGCUUUGCCAAAACAAUUUCUAUGAAGCAUUUAAUAUGGAGACUACGUAAUAACCUUCAAGGCAGACUAUUAAAUGCUAGACAUGACUUUUCCUUGAUUUAGAAUUGUUUAACUUUGGAUACACAGUAUUGGAUAAACUACAUAUGUAUCAAAGAAGGUAACAAACGACAGGAUUGCUCGAAUUACUUUUCAGUUGCUGAAGUAGCUUACAAGAAGUGUAUUAAAUUGGUCUUGAGCCUCUUUAACAGCAUCAAUGGAUGUUGAUCAUUUCAGUUUUGGGUGUGCCAAAAUCUUGAACUCAUCAUCAUUGACUGCCCGAAGCUCAAUAGAGAUGGAUAAGGUAUGUAUCAUUUGAUUAGCAAAGAUGGUCGAUGAUGGCAAGUCCAUAGAACUAGAGUUUGUUUUUUGCUGCGUCCUGUUUUGUGAGUUUUCUUUUAGCUAAGCUUUCAUCUUAGUUCUAGAACCACCACUUGCAUUCAUUCAUCCUCUUAUCUUUGAGCAAAAUUCCUUUUUUCGCAUGUCAUGAACAUGCGGUACUUUCACUUGCCUCCACGGUGGUGAUGCUUUGCUGGUUUAUGUUGUGCAUCAGCAUAAUGUUGGGGUUGACAUGCUUUGCAGAAUGUAACUUGCUUAGAUAGUAAGCACACUGAAGAUGCUAACAAACGCUAGGUUUUGUUGAAAGGCAGAGGCGGUUGAGAGUACUGGUCAUACCUUAUGUAGUGUUUUUUCAAUUUCACUACAGAACAAUCAUGAUUUGUGAGGAAUGAAAUAAAGGAAUUAAAGCCUCAUUAGCGAAAGAGUAAAUUGUUGAUACCUUUUAUGCUGUAUGAGUUAUUUAGUUACUUCCUUCAUGAAGAAUUGGAGGUGCUUUUGUAGUUACUUUUGAACUUACAUUUUGUUUGUCUGUCUGUUAUUCGUUCAUUCCCUCCCAUCUUAAAUUACCAAACACAGUUGAGGAAGAUGUUGAAAUUCGCCAAACAAGGCAUUUACAUUCUUGAAUUCUUAUUUGUUGUGCCGAUAACAUGUCUUUUUCUGAAUCCUUUGCUGUUUUGAGCUGGGUCCGGGAAUUUGAUGACUUCUACUCAUUGAUGAAUUCAAUGAGGCAAAUGCAAUAACCUGGGUUGCUCACUUUUUAAUCAUCUCUGUUUCCUGCAGUUUUAGAGAUUGAGCAAGGAUUAUCUGAUGUUGCACAAUCAAAGAUUAUUGUAAGCUUUACUCCACAUUUGAUGCCCAUGAUUAUAGUUGCAAUUUUCUAGUGUUCCCAUUCUUAAAGUUAAAAUUAUGCUUCCCUAGCGAUAGCUGUAAGCUUUCUUCAACUAUUUCUGCAGAGUCCUAAAAAUGCAAUAAACUAUUCAUGCUAAAAUGUCUUCAGGUGUAAUGGCUGGGGAUCUAUAUGAAGUUGCUAACUGGGCAAACUUUUUUCUAACUAAUAGUCCUAUUUUGCUUAGGCAUUCGAUGGCUUAAUGUGCUAAGUAUUAACCUUAGCUUUCGUUUACUGAAGUACUUAUUUUUAGUACUCAUGAUUAGCUUAAUCAAAGUACAUCAUUUAUUUCAUAGAUCUUGAUUAAGUCAAUCAAGUAGUAGACGUGUUUGGGAACUGAAACUUGAAAGAUCCGCAACUUCCUUUCAUAUUCUUGAGUGUGCUUCCCACAUACUUCAUGCUGUCUGAUCGCUUAAUUCACUUUAUCUUGCUGGACGAGGGAUUUGUUAUGCUGUUAAAAAAUGGAGUUGUUCCUCGUACUCAAAAUGUGCAAGGAUCUUAUUAUUUUUUUAUGAGUGUCUUUCUUGAUCAAGUAUCCGGACAAGCAAUACUUAUCUAUGUAGUCGGUUCCCAAGUGUCUGUUCUCCAUUAAGUGCUUUACUUUUCAUGUAACGUCAAAGUCAUCUCUUUAUGAUAAGCUGUCUAAACCUUCUUUUGCAGAUUGACAAUCAAGUGAAGGGAGCUGGUGGUCAUGUUCUGCAUAAUCUUCAAUAAGACGAUGGGUUUACCUGAGAUUGUGGGGCUUAACUACCUAUUAUUGUUUCCUUGAUGCAUUCUGCAUUCUUGUGAGUGAGGUAGAUUAUGCAUGAAUUUUGUUCAAGAAAGCUUGUAUAAUUGCAUUGGUUGUGUCCGAGCUAUAGCUAUUGUUUAUUAUUUAUGGUGACUCAUAACACCUUUCCUCAUCUUGCUCUCCUUCUCUCUCUAAAAUGUUGUCACGCCCCGACCCUCAGGCACGCACACAUCCCUUACUUUUGGUCGAUUUAAAAAUGCGAUAUCCCAGGACUAUGUAUCGCCGACCCUUUCUUUUAUAUAUGCACAUGCGGAAGCAGUUAUAAUUCCCCAGACAAUAAAGCAAUGGGAUAGAAAAGCAGGCCAUAUAUUUUUCUUACUGAAAAUUCACAACUACAUCUUUUUACAUGCGAACAAGGUCUGACAAGACAGGAUAGGAUUUCGAUCCUCAUCCGAGUCGUACUCGAUGUCAUACUCGGGGUCCUCCUCCACGUACUCCUCUUUGGGUUCCUCAACAGAGAUCUCCUCAUCAGAUUCAUGCUCCUCAAGCUCCUCAUCCAGGUCCUGAAAUGGUUAUUCAAUAACCACUGAGACCACGUCUCAGCAAGUUCUAGCUCCUAAGACCCAAUUAGUAAACUAAUAUACCUUAGGGUUGCCUACGCACAACAUGAGUCAGAGGACGUACCUUAGCCUCAGAUUCCACCUGCAUAUUAGUACAGUUCGAAUAGGCACACAAGCAAUCACAUCACAGAUCGAAGCAUCGAUCUAAUCGACUUAGUCGAUUUCACAUUAGGAAGACCACUCACGAUCAUCUCCCUUCAAUCAUUCAAUUCACAACAUCAAACCAAGGCAAUGAAUCGCAUCAAAUCACACUCAGAUCGAAUCAUCGAUCAAUCGACCUAGUCGAAUCAUUUCUAGGUCAUUCAUCCCACAUCAAGCAAUUCCUUGGAUUUAGUGGCUUUACGGUCCCACCCGACCCUCUCGAGAACUAGUGGCUUUACGGUCCCACCCGACCCUCUCAAGAACUAGUGGCUUUGCGGUCCCACCCGACCCUCUCGAGAACUAGUGGCUUUUCGGUCCCACCCGACCCUCUCAAGAACUAGUGGCUUUACGGUCCCACCCGACCCUCUCAAGAACUAGUGGCUUUACGGUCCCACCCGACCCUCUCGAGAACUAGUGGCUUUACGGUCCCACCCGACCCUCUCGAGAUGUCAUACUAUGUCACCGAGCCACGUGCAUUCUCCAGGAAGACAUACCGAGUCUCCGAGCCACGUGCAUUCUCUAAGGCUAUCUUUUCGCCAAGAUGACAUAUUAAAUCACCGAGCCACGUGUCUUUCCCAAGUGAUAUUCCAAUUCACUGGGCCACGUGCAUCCUCAAGGUGAUUUACCAACUCACUUUCGAUACUAACAACCGAUAUCCGACCAAUUCUCAAUCACAAGACCAAAAUUGCAUUAUUUAAUAACAUACUUAAAAAUGCACCAUUAAAUCAAUUCGACACAAAUUAAAGCUCAAAUAAAUAAACGGACUGCUCCACGACAAUCAGCACGAAAUUCCGGUCACUGGCCAUCCCAGUUGAAUUUCCGGAAAAUAAAUAAUUAAAUAAUUAAUUUCGAAAAUUAAAUAAAUAAAUACAAUAAAUUCAAUUUAACACAAUAUAAAGCUCAAUAAAUAACGNNNNNNNNNNNNNNNNNNNNNNNNNNNNNNNNNNNNNNNNNNNNNNNNNNNNNNNNNNNNNNNNNNNNNNNNNNNNNNNNNNNNNNNNNNNNNNNNNNNNCGAUCAUCAGCAUAAAAUCCCGUCACUGCCCAUCCCAGUGAUUUCCGGGAAAUAAAUAAUUAAUAAUAAUUUCGAAAAUUAAUAUUUAAUUCCUAAAAAUACCACAUAAGCCCGAUUUGCUUAAUUAACACCCGAUAAGGGACGGGAAAAAUCCCAAGAAGCAUCCAAUAAAUACUACAAGCAAUUCUCUAUCUAAUUACACUAAUCACACAACUAAUAUGCAAAGCAAUUAACUAAUAAUCACUAAUCAAAUCUAAUCUAACAACCUAAUUAUACUUAAUUAACACUAAUCAACCUUUAAGUAUAAUUAGCGCACUAAGAAGGCGUUAGUGAGUAAAACUCACUCAAAACGACGGGCUCGACGCGAGGGUCGACUUUCCUCAAAGCGGGCCAAGCAUCCGGGCUCGGGAAGGCGGCCAAAACGGGCCAAACAGUUGCUGCAAACCUAUUUUCUGCACUCACUGAUCGCUGCUGGUUGGAGGUGAAGGAGGGCGGAUUCGGGGCUGGUUGAGCUCGGGAAUGGGCGGAGGAGCUGAACAAGACCAAGGCGAGUCUUCACGGUGGCCGGAGGUGGUUGGAGGAAGCUCCGGCGGGUCUUGCACGAGCUGGACAGAGGCGGAACAGGGGUUGGACAGCAGCUCUGGAACAGCGAGCUGGGUGAGAGGGAGACCGAGCUGAGCGGAGCAGCGGCGGAGCGCACGGCGUCGCGCGGGCAGCGGUGCGGCAGCUCCGGUCCAACAACGCCAGCUGCUGCCCCAACUCCAGUGUCCUCCUAGAUCUGGAACCCCGAGCAGCGAACAGAGGGGAAGACAGAGGUGCCGACGGCGGCUGGAAUGGGUGAGGGAGAGGCGGAGAUGAACGACGGAGCAGCGGAGCGGGUGAUGCGCCGGCGAGGACGGCUUGAGGCAUGAGGCGGUGUGGAGUAACGACGGCAAGCUACUGUCUCUGUUUCUGCUUCGUUCGAACCAGAGGAGGGAGAGGGGGCGGAGAUGUGCAGACGGCAGCACGGCGUCAGGCUCGGGUGCGCGAGCAGCUCAGGUCCAGGUGGGCGUGCGACGACAACGGCGAGAGGUGAUGACUGCAGCUCAGUCUUCACUGGUCUUCAGCUCCCAUGGAGUUUUGAAGAAAAAGAAGAAGAUGGGGGAGGAGUUCGGUCGACGAAGGAGGAGAGAGGGGAGGAAGAAAAACUCAAUUUCCCUUUCUUUUCUCUCACUCUCUCUCUCUCUUAGGUCAGCCACACAUGGCCACCACCAGCUGUCUCCCACUCUUCAAUUUUUGACAAACAUGCCCCCUUCUAUAAGAUUUAGGUACGCUAAAGAGUUGGGUUUAUAGGCAUACUAAUUUUGCUAACGAUUCUUUUCUAAAUGGAACCUUAAUUCCUCUUGAAUUAAAUCAAAGUGAUCCCCGUUAAUAUAUGCAACACCUCAUCAUUGAAAUUGGUAUUUUCCAUACAAUAUAGCCCANNNNNNNNNNNNNNNNNNNNNNNNNNNNNNNNNNNNNNNNNNNNNNNNNNNNNNNNNNNNNNNNNNNNNNNNNNNNNNNNNNNNNNNNNNNNNNNNNNNNGUAUUUCUUCUUCGUGUCUAUCAUUUUUACAUUUGCUGAUGUAAAAUGUUUUUGUGCCAAGCUCCUAUAAGGAAUGGUCAAAUGUUCAUUUACAUGGAUGUCUGGGCUUUGGCAAGACACACAUUGUUGGUUCUGCAGCAGCAACUUGUUCUCUUCAAUCCAUAUAAGUGAAAGUGCUGAGACGUUCAAUAAGUACACUGGUACUUUUGAGCAAGCUGUAAGAGGCUUCUUUUCAACUUCACCAAUGUUGAUUGAAUUCCAUUGUGCAAUCUUGUAUUAAACUUUGAUAUUCCAGACAUUUCACAAUUUUGUGCUUUCUUUUGUUGCUUUUGUAUGCAUUUAACAGAGGUCCCGUCAUGUAUGCUAGCAGUGAAAAUUAGAUAAUUAGCAGCAACAAUAAGGAUGCUCCCGCUGCAACCAAGGUGUUCUAACUAAAUUAUUGUCAACAACAGCUCCCAUAACCAUUGAAGUGGCCAAAUUAAAAAGCCAAUUAUAACCGAUUCUCUUCUGAAGUCCGUUGCUUCGAAGGGAAGACUGUCAGUCUCAAAUGCCGAGAAAAGAAGACUCCGUAGAAAUUUGAAGUAGCGGCAAGGUAAAAUGUUUUUUUUUUUCAAUUAGAAUAAUUCAUACUUAUUAAACACGCUAAUUACUUCUACGAUCAUGAAUAUACCAAAACGAUCAAAUGUAGAGACCAUUAGUAGAUUUUAAAAAUUCCAUGGGUUUGUAAAAGCCAUUGGCUUUUAAUGGCACGUCACGCGUUACGUUUGACCAACGACUCUUAGGUGCGGAAGGCGGCGACCUUAUGCUGAUUUCACAUUUUCUAGUUUUGCUCUGACGAAAGAAAACGAGUGGAAAGUGGAGUAUAGGCAAAAAUCAAUUGAUCAUGGCUCAGCAAAGCAGAAUGGAAGUCUAGCCCCAAUCGAGAAAAGCUAAUCUUAGUGCAGAAUUUCUCAAGUUCUAUCCAUCACAAGGAGGUUAAUCAUUUUAGCAUGCAAAAUCUUAUUUUUUUAAGGAUACGUCACUAAUUAGUUAUUAGUAGGCUGAUUAAAAAAGUUGAUCCUUUUUAAUAUGAUGAGCAAAACAAAAGCAUUUAAUAUCCGGUAUUUCUAGCCUAAAGAUAAAGGAAGAGAUUUCUCAUUGAACAAACAAAAAGAUAAAAGGGGAUCCAUUAUGCUUUGGUCACACCGGAUGUUGGGCAAAUUCUAUGAGAUAUUGCAUUGAACUUUGAUCUAUAUGUAAAAGAACAUAGAGGAGUCGAAUGCUUUCUCUAGAAUUAUACAUGGAGAUUCUGGAUUCUCUGAAUAUAUAUAAAAGUCAUAAUGCAUGACAAAGUUUGAAAGUACCAACCAUAAAACUUUUUGUGUCAAGAAAAUGCCCAAAAAUACGAUUAUUUAUGUUUUGACAUAAUUUCCGAAUGUGACUCUAAAUAAGAUUUUCAUUACAUAUAUACAUAUCUCCUAAUUCUAGGAGGGUAGCAUAUACAUUUGAAAGCGAAAUGAACUUAGUACAUUUAAAUUUAACAAAAUAUCACCUAAAUACAUGAAAAAAGUGAAAAAGAUCAUAUUAAAAAGGAAAAGUUGCAUAUAAAUUGUGGGUGGGCCUAAUUAGAUCCAAAUAUUUUUUUGUGAUACCAAAAUCCCCAAACUUUUGUUUUGCGACACUAAAUUUUAAGGGUGAAUGUAUAGAGAAUUUUUAUAUCAUAAGAAGAAGUUUGGGAUAUAUAUACAAAUUUGGGAUUCCUGAUGCCAAAGAAAAGUGUGAGGGUAAACGGUGACCAAACUGCCCUCACUUCUUGACAAAUUUCCGUAAAAAAUAUCCGGACCGUGAAAAAUCCCGCGCCAAUUCCAUAAAAAAACACGAACUUUAGGUGUUGUCCCAAAUCUGGCCCGAGCUUUAUUUUGUCUUAAAAAAAAGCAUGAACUUUAGGGGUUGUCCCAAAUCUGGCCCGGAUUUUAUUUUGUCUAAAAAAAAAGCACGAACUUUAUGUGUUGUCCCAAAUCUGGCCCAAAUUUUAUUUGAGACAAAAUAAAGUAAUUCUAUUAUAAAUAGGCUUCCUACAAGAUAGAUGCACACGCUUUUAAUAUCUCGUUUUAAGGCAAUGUAAUCUUCUGUUUUCAAUCCAGUUUUUGACAUUGCAAACAAUUUGCCAAUUGUUAAUUGAUCUAAUGGCCCUAGCUAUGUGCCCCAUCCCCUGGAACUGAAGCUGCUGAAUUAUUUUUCCCAUGAGAAUCAUCUGUAAAGUUCACCUCAUUGGAAGACAAACUUAAAUUUAACACUUCCUCCAAACACUCGAAUACAGCAUCAUUUUGUUGUGUUGGAUAUUAUUGCUGACGUGGAAAUGCCAUGUUGGAUGACUGUGGAAUGAGGGUUAACGGAUGGCAGAUUUGAGACACAAGUGAAAAUUUAUGCCUUUUUUUAGACAAAAUAAAUUUCGGGCUAUAUUUGGGACAAUACUUAAAGUUCGUGCCUUUUUUUGAGACAAAAUAAAGUUCGUGCUUUUUUUUAGACAAAAUAAAGUUCAGGCCAGAUUUGGGAUAACAGCCUAAAGUUCGUGCUUUUUUAUGGAAUUAGCCCGAAAAAUCCCCUACUCUUCCCUUGGUCACCGCAAGCCUCCGCCACUCGCCGCCGCGUCGCCGUCGUAUCCCCUUCCCGUGCCAUCACCCCUCGUCAUCGAGCCGCCCCCGGCCAUCGCCUGCGCUGAUCGUUUCGCGUCCCGUCUCGGCCAAGCCACCAUCUCUCUCCCUAUCUCCCCGUGUUUCCUCUUCGAAGCAAUUAUUUUGUCAAUCUGAACGGCUUUUUCACUUACGAAGGAAGGCCGCCUGUAACUUCUAGGCAGACGCAGCGAAAGUGAGAGAUCUCUCUCCGUUGCUUUAUCAAGUUGCUACGAGGAUUAGGCUCGGACUUCCCAAGUCACCGGGCAGGCCCAAUUCGGAGAUCCAGAAUGAAGAGAAAGCGGGAGGGAGACGAGACGGCGACGGCAGCUGGAACAGCCUGCUGCCGCGAUGGCAGAUCGGGGAGGGGUUACGAGGUGUUCCUGUUUUUGGGCUUUUGCUUCCACUAGGCUGAAGGUGCUGCUGAAGGAGAUGUUUGUGNNNNNNNNNNNNNNNNNNNNNNNNNNNNNNNNNNNNNNNNNNNNNNNNNNNNNNNNNNNNNNNNNNNNNNNNNNNNNNNNNNNNNNNNNNNNNNNNNNNNGUCUUAAGAGUACUUGUGGCGAUUGGUGGGAUGAUGCUUGCAGGCUGCAGCAAUACAAGCCGGUCGAGAUGAAACUCCUAGCUCAACAGAGGGAUCUUCAGGUGUGUUGUUGUAUUCUGCUCUGUCAGUUUGGCGUAAUCGCUGGCUUUCUAUAAUGCGUAUUUUUGCUGGCAAAGGUUUCCUGACUUUAUCGAUGCUAGUUUGGGAUUUGUUAUUAUCGACAUCCCUUUAGAUGUUUGUGUAUAAUUUCUCAUUGACUGAUUCUUUUGUAUCGUUAUAUCUGCUAUUGAAUUCGCUGUUGAGUUACAUUUCGUUGUUCAUUUUCUUCGUGCGAUUACAAAGAAAGACCCGGAUUCAAAUGUACUGCUGAAUACCAUAGCCAUUAUCCCUCCUGUCGGCCCUUGUGCUAGCACCGGACCUUGUUUAUUUCUUUUCUUUUUCUUUGGUUUUUUUGGUAUAGUAUAACCAAUGCAGUGUUGAAAUGUUGCGCAAUGGUUAACAUGGAGGUGGGCGUACGUGCAUGUGUGGGUAAAGAACUUUGAAUCAUUUAAGUGUGCAACUUUUUUCUUGAUUCUUAGGAGGUAUAAAGACAUGAUUAGAGAUAUUGAUACCAAUUGUUAAUCACGAUGAAUAUUUAGUUUCAGGAAAAAGAAAUGUACUAGGUUGAGACAGACAAGUAACACAACAAGACUAUGCUCUCCACGUUAGGAAAUUUUCUCAUUUAAAUGUACGGGGAACAUGCUGAUUGGGGGUUGCAUCUUGCAUGUUAUACCUUAUAAAUCUUCCUUAUACUUUAUUGCAUCAAAUGGUUUGUCAUUGAAAAACGUCCGUAUUAUCUCCCAUGUUUAGCAGUCGUGCAUUAGAGGCUUUCAAUCGCUUAUCUUAAAAUGAGUAGGAAUUAUCUGCAUUUAGGUUCUAUUUAAAAACGGAAUCAAUUCGGCGGAUCUUUCUCGUCCUUUCAGAAAGCGCAAGAGUAUAGGAAGAGAUAUUGUUUUGCGUUUUAUUCUAGUUCAGAGCCUGGUUAAUGGUAUUGUGAAAACUGACAAAAGAAAGGUGGAGAUGUAUCUAAUUCUAGAGUUCUUUUCUUUUCAUUUUUUUAAAAACUGUUUCACAUUGGUUGUUAUUCUCUUUUUGCUGAACCCUUAAUGAACUCAGAGCUGGUAUUAGUGUCGUAUAUAGAACAAAAUAAACAAUUCAUUUGUUUUAUGUGUCCCUUCAUUUAAUUAGGAGAAUGCUUUCUCGCUGAUUGAACAUCCUUCAGAAAGCAAUGGUUAUCAUGCAAACAUCUUAGUAGAGUUAUUUACAUGAAUCUAACAAACUUGGGGUAAGAAGUUAGUCUUAGAAAUUGUUAACCACAUGUGAAGUCUCAAGCCGUCCUUUCCCUUAAUGCAAGAUUUAAAGGCUCUCUUAUUUCUAUCUCUUGACUAAGAAAAAGGCUAAGAUUUGGAUUGGGUAUGAUUCAAUUCCAUGGUCACCACGUCUUAUCUGCAUCUUUUCCAGCAUAUCCAUGUCCGAAGGAGAUCCAGUCUGAGGGCAACAUAUCGGUAGGUGAUCUGAGGAUUCUCAUUGACUUUGCCAUAGCUAGUAUCUGUUCGUAUGCACCCUUCUUCUUGUUUUUGUUCUUCUAAAAGGUCGACCCCAUGGCAGUCAUCUUCUUUUGUAUCUGGUGUGAUUGGUAGGAGCCUUUCACUGUUGCUGGACUCCUUAAUAUUGGAAUGAUAGUCUCCAUUACUGUAACAUAUUCAUGUGGUGAUAGUAUAGCCACAAGGUGGGCUGCUGCAAGAGAUUUUUGUUGCAAGAAUGACUCAUUUGAUGAUUUGGCUAAUUUUGUUCACGAUCUUGUGGUGAUUUGGGUGUUUUGGUUGUUUAACCAAUUCCUGACUGACUCUUCAGAAGUUUGUAUCUUCAAAGAGCACAUAUAGCAAAGUUUAUCCCCACUCCCGCAAUCUGCGCAUACCAUAAAAAGCCUGUAUUUAUUUCCCGGAAUUACGCUUAUUUUAUUGAUGAGUGAUGACCAAACCUCACCUGGUCCACGGCAAAAAGUUGAUGGAGAAAUCCAUCCCCUAUAAAAUUCACCCAGUCUUCACUAAAAAGACAGAAUUGCUCAAAUCAUUCUAUUGCAAUUUAAUUGGUAGCCCCAAAUAUAUUUCAAUGGAUGAUUUAGUUACCAUAAUUAAGAAUUUCACGUGUUCAGUUUUUCAUAAUUGUAGGUAUUAUUAAAAACACCAUUUCUUUAUUCAUUGUUAGAUUUUUCUUCCAUAAAAAUUAUUUGUGUAAAAAAGAAAUUUCCAAGAUAUCUAGUUUGUUGAGCAAAUUUAAGGAUAAAUUUUCAACUAGAAUCUAGAAAAAAAAUUAUUAUAUAAAUAAUUUUUUAACACAAUUACUUGUUUACAAAUUUUCAAUUUUGUUGUGCAUAUCAUUAUCAAAUUCCUUAUCGUUCAAUCAAAUAAAAUUCCUUCCCAUUGGUUCUCUUCUUUAUAUAUAUGGGAUGAUAAGAUAAAUCAAGAAGGACUAGCAAAGAUUUUAAACUUAUUUCAAAAUAAAGAUUCAGGUAUUAGAUCAAAAUCUUGAAUUUAUCUAACAAAUUUAGAUAAAUUAUCAAAAGGGGUCUUUAAGUUUUUGUUAUCAAUCAAGAAGGACCAGCAAAAAAUUUAAUAGUGUAUUACAUUUCAAUAUGAUACCUAUCACAAAUAUAAUUAUUCUUCUGUCUGAUCAAGGAUCAAUUGAUCAUGCCAUUUGGUGUGACAUUGGACUAAAUAUAAGGAAAUCAGCUUUGUUGGGCUUAGCAAAAGCAAAAUGGAAUUCCGGCUCUAGCUGAUAAAAGCUAAUCCUUCUAAAUUUAACGAGCAAAGCAAAAGCUAUUGUGUAUAGUAAAUGUUCCACAAUGAAAGUAUGUAAUAAUUUUGUUGAUAUUUACUAUGAAAGUAAGUAAUAAUUUUGUUGAAUGAUAUGAUGUGAACGAUAUCUUAUUUGCUAGUACCAGAUCCCACCAGCACAUCGUAAGUAAGCAAUAAUUCUGCUUGAGUAAUAACUCUGUUGCAGUGAUUGGACGGUGACCAGUCUUAUUGCUCAUGCUGCUACAGUUUCUGGCGACUAUCUUCCCUUGGUGAUUUUGUUCUUAUUCUAACAAGUUGACCCCGUGGCAGUCAUCUUCUUGUGUAUCUCCUCGACGGUGUGAUUGUUAGGGGGUAGCUUUUCACUGUUGGUGGACUCCUUAAUUUUGGAAAUGAUUUUCUUCAUUACCGCAGUAUAUUCAUAUGGUGAUUGUCCAGCCGCAAGGUGGCUUGCUGCAAGAGAUUUAUGUUGCAAGAAUAAUGCAUUUGAUGAUCCAACUAAUUGUUUGUGAUCUUGUGGUGAUUUGAGCGUUUUGGUUGUUUAACCAAUUUCUAACUGAUUCUUCAAAAGUUUGCAUCUUCAAAGUUUAUUCCCCCUCCCGUAAUUUAUGCAUUCUUACCAUAAAAGCAUGCAUUUAUUUCCUGGAUUACACACAUUUUCUUGAUGUGUGAUGACCAAGCCUCGCCCGAUGGCAAAAAGUUGAUGGAGAAAUCCAUUCCUUGUAUAACUAAAUUCACUCAAUUUUCACUUAAAAGAUAAAAUUGUACCAAAUAUUCAAUUGCAAUUUAAUUGGUAGCCCCAAAUUCAUAAACUUUUUUUUUUCCUUUUAGUUUUUCUAUUUCAAUGUAAGAUUCAGUUGCCAUAAUUAAGAAUUUCAUAUGUCUAGUUUUUCUUUAUUGUAGGCAUUUCAAAUAUAUUAAAAACACCAUUUCUUUUAUUAACUAUUAGAAUUUUUUUUUCUAUAAAGCUUAGUUUUGUUGAAAAAAGAAAUUUCCAAGAAUCCUAGUUCUUUUACAUGUUGUCAAGGAAAAUUGAGGAUAAAUUGUCGAGUAGAAUCUAGAAAAAAUUAUUAUAUAGAUUUUUUUAACACAAUCACUUGUUUGCAAAUUUUCAAUUUUGUUUUGCAUAUCAUCAUCAAACACCUUUUCAUCAUUUGACGAAAGAAAAUUCCUUCUUAUGGGUCCCCGCCCCCCUCCCCCCUCCAGCCAGCCCAGCCCAGCCCAGCCCAGCCCAACCCACACAGAAGGAUGAUCGGAUAAAAAGAAAACCCUCUUGAAGGUUUGAAGAUUUUCCAAAAUAAAAUCACAAUUACAUUCUCCAAUGGAAAACUUUAAAGAAGAAAUUUAAUUAAAUUGAAAAAUUACAUAAAAUAAGAAACUUUUAAAAAUGUUGAUGAAAUCUCAUUAUUUGGAAUUGAUAGAAAUUAAUAUCGUUGACGAAGCAUGUACGAAAAUAUAUCUAGAUGCUUCAUUAUGCACAAUGGUUUUAGUGUAUUCCUAGUUUUUCCACAACGCCUUAACAUCUGUGUAAAAGUAUCUCACAAUAAUAAGGGAAAAUGAUAAGUUCUUUAAUAUUAUAUAAAAAGACUUGAUACAUAUUUUGGACUAAUAAAAUUAAAAAAUAAAUAAUUCAUCAAGAAAGUGAACUUUUGAGAUAAGAGGGAGAAAUAAUAAAUGAGUAUUUAUUAGAGAAAUGAUGAAAAGAGACUUUCAAGGUGUUGAUCAUGUAAAAUAAUUUGUGUUUUUUUCUAACUAGUGGCUUUUAUAUAGAGCAUGUAAUACGUUAUAGUAAUAUUUAAGGAUACACUAAAAACAAUUCUUUAAUACGUUAAGAAAAAUAAAACACAUGGAAUGCAUAAUUAUGGCAAUUAGAAACAGUAGGGAAGGAAACAAUGUGAUUGUCACUUUAAAUUGCAAUUGAAUGGUUGAAGGCAAUUUAGCCUUUCUAUUCUAAAUAGUAAAUGGGGUGGAUUGGAUUAUAUAGGGUCAAAAUAGUGCCGCCCAAAAUUUAAAGGAGAAAUUAAAAUCACAAUGGGAUAAUAUUUUCUUUUCCAUAUAGAAAGAAUGUUAGCUCUUGUGCACGCUUUUUAUUCCUACGUCAUGAAUAGACCAAGAUGAUAGAGUGCAGAGGUCAUCAACAGAUUUAGAAACAUUUUGUGUGACUUCACCAACAAUUGGCUUUUAAUUGCUUUUAACAGUGUAUCAUGCAUUAUGGUCAUCUGCACUCUCGGAUACGGAAGGUGACUUUGUGCUGAUUUCACAUUCACAAUUUUGCAAUGACAAAAGAAAAAGAGUAGUCAAUGGAACAAAGGCAACAUUGAUCAUUUGGCUUAGCAAAAUCAUAAAGGAAGUCUGGCUCCGGCUGAGAAAAGCUAACCCUUUUUAAGUUAAGGAGCAGAAUAGAAGCAAUUACAGUCUGCUUUUUUCUAGACUAGAAAUUGAGGAAGAGACUUCUCACCAAAAAAACAAAACGGACAAAAGGAUUAAAGGGGAUCCAUUUAUCCUUCCUUAGAGGUCAUGCCAAAUCGUCUGUUUAUGGAGCCAGACCACUGGCAUCAUCUUAUGUUAUUAUAAUUCUAUAUAUGUCUAGAAGGAAAAAGGCAUUAAGACAAGCGUCUAGGCUGGGAUCCCGUGAUUCGUGCAAUGAUUGAAUUGCAUAAUUUGAAUUAAAAUACAAAUCUGUGAUAACAAAAAUUAGAUACAAUUCUAACUGAUUUGUGAGCCUAUUCCCUCACUUUUUGUUUCUCAAAUUUAAGCGCAUGUAUGAGAAGCUUAAUUUUUACGUGAAACUAAUCGUCAGUAUCGAUAAAACAUUUUAAAUUUCCGUGUGUGCGUAUGUGAAGUGAGUCUCUAUACAAUCGCAUAAUAUUAUAUUUUAAACUUGGUGCCCACCUUAAAAAUGACAUUAGGAAAUGAUCACAUUUUGUGUGUGUGCAUGUGUGAAUAAUCUGCAGAAAUGGAGAAUAAAUCUAGACCGCAUUCAAUGGAGCUAGAGAAAGGUUCAAUGCCUUCGGUUCAUUAGAGACGUCAUCAUCGAUCCAUUAGCAAAAAGUAGUUGAUUUAACCAUAAAAUUUUGGGCUUGGCACUUAUAAGAAAGAAAAAUUUUGCUCAUAAAAAGAAGAAAAAAGAAAUAAAGCUCUUUGGUCGUUUCAUGGAUGUUUCUAUGAUCUUUCCAAAAGGCAUUCUAGGAGGGCCUGCAAUUGUUAAACCACAAAAUAAUGGAUCUCAACUGUGAAAACAAAGCUUUUCAAGUUUUUACAAAUUGCUAUAAUUUGCAUUAUGACAGGUAUCGAUCAAUCAACUAAUCAAAAAAUGGAAAUAGUUGCAUGGAUCGUGGUCUAUAGAACAAAUGUGAUCACAUCCAUUGAUGUUUGGGUGUUCCGUGUAUAAUAUAUGUCAUAAACAAUUUUGUGAUAAAUCCGUUUAUGUGGAUCCGAGUACUGUCAAGCUAACCCAAUAAAGCCAACAUGAGUUAGGAGAGAGAAAGAGCUUCCUUAAGAAACAAAGACGAACUUGAGUUCUCUUUGCUUAUAAUAUACGCAGGUCUAUCUUCAAGUUUUUGUCCGGCCCUCUUGUGAAAGCGAAAGCAAAAGCAACAGCACUGAGGUAUGUUUGUCUAGUCAAUUCAUUUGCACAUACCCAAAUUCCACGUCAAACAGACUCGUUUGUUCAUGUGGUCACGCGCGUGCGUUUUGCAAUUUCAGGACCAGGACCUAGAAAAUACCAAGAAACUCAGGUUGAUAUCAUCAAAAAGCAUAAAGACCCUUCUUCAAGAUUAAAAAUGUUUCGAAAAUCUCAACUUUGUUGAUCUCCUUGUGGAGGAGGAACUGUACUUUCUUCGCAAUUUCCACAAAAGAAUAAGCUAAAGUCUCCCUCUUAGGACCCUUUUAGCUCAACGAAAGGUACAUGUAAUUUGCAAAGCAAAACUCAAAUUGCGUAAAAGAUUGACAUUAGCAUGGACCUAAAAUUAAAGAAUAUAGAAAACUUUAAUCAAUAUCUUUCAAUUUUUUGAACCAUUAGGUGUAAUUGAAGUGCAUAGACUUCGAAGAAGGUCAGCCAAAUAAAAUUGCCCAAUCUAUUAUGUAGAGUUAAACUGAAGCUGAAAGAGUGGUUGCUCCUAUACCGGUCACGCCACACUUCUCUAUAGCUCUAUACUUAUGACGUGACAAAACACUUAGCAUUGUGUUGCCAUGUGGUCCAAUGACCUUACAAAUUAUUUAUAUGUCUUCUUGUAAUUCAUGUGUUAUUUUCUAGUGCUAUUUAUAGAAAACAUCAACAUUUAAUCAUCUUCAAAUACUAGAAAAACUGAUUAUAUCUAGAGGUAGGCUUAGGCAAAACAAUAGAUUUAAACUUAGCCGAAGUGAUUGAAUCAAACAAUGAAUAGAAUGGAUGUGUUUUAUAAGUAAUACAUACUCCAGUAAUUGUCAUCUUCCAUGGAGCAUCCACUUUUUUUGUGAUAAAAUUCCGAUCAUUGUGAUUUUAUGGUGUUGGAAAGCUUAUUAUUUAAUUUUAGAUGAAAUUAAUCGAUUGGAUAAAAUGGACAAUCGAACCCAUUUUCUCCCACGGACGCUGGUGACUUCAAUUUUGCUAAAAUGCAAUUCACCUCGGAUUGUGGCUUUUGGGUGGUUGGGUCAGAUAGAUGAACUUUGCAAAAAGUCAAGUACACUCGAUUAUACGUAGCCACCCUUCCAACUUGAAAGGGGGAGGUGGAGGGUUCGAAUUCUCACAUUCUCAAGGAAGGGUUGGGGUGGGGAUGAGUAAGUUUUACAAGUGGGUUUUGACUCCCCCACACCUGCAAGGAGGCAGGGCAAAAAUUUGAGAGAAUGAGUGUUAGAGUAAGAAUAAAGUAUGACCGACCGAAAAAAGAAAAGAAAAUUAUAACCUUUCACUAAACUUUUAAUUGAACUUUUAAUGAGGUUUGCCUCUCGGUCAACUUUGCUAUGGCAUUGGAGGGUCGCUCGUGUCUUUAGUGACCUUUCGCAUGUGUUCAAUGAUGCAAUGGAGGCUCUGUCCACCAGUGAUUAUCUAUCGAGCAAUCGAGCUUCGCCAUUUCUAUUCCUUAUUUGAUGGAGUUAGCCAACAACGAGCACGACCAUUUUAGGGUCCAUUCGUCAUAGCCGAAAUAAUAUAUUCUGGAGUUCUACUGUUCUUUUGGUCUUUACUAUAUUGGAUCCAAAUUGAAUGUGAAAGAGCUCUGACUUCUACUUCUAACAUAUUAUGAAAACUUUGGCCUUGAUGAAUUGUAUUAUGUCUGAGAAAUCUUGGCGACAGUGAGGACUUAGCUACAUAAUCCGUAUGGUACAUAUUUUCUUUGAUAUGAUGAGGAAUUGGCCACAGACAAAGAUGCCAACCUCAUCUAGCGGACUAUCCACAACCAUAUGGUACCUAAUAUGCACAAAUGAAAAAGCGCCUUUGAGCUCUCCGUGCACAUCAGCGGGGACAACAAAAGAUUAUUAAUUAGUCCUUAUUAAUUAAUCUCAUUCUUUCUCAACUACAUGGACUUUACCUUUUUUUAUAGUCGUGUCUUCCUCCUAUCUUAUCUCUCACUUGACAUAGAGCUAUGUAUCGUAAGCUCAUAACUAAGUAGGGCAUUAAAUUGGUCGAAUGUUCUUGAUCAGUCAGACCAGUGGAAUGAGCUACAUCCUCAACUAGCGUGCGCCCUUUCUCGGGUUCAAAGGGACUCCCCGUCGUCGAGAUCUAGCUAGGAACAAAGGUUCCCUGUCAUUUCGAUGCCGCAAAAACGCUUAUUUCGUUUCAUGAUUGUACAGCAAAAGCAAAGGUAAAGAGCCUACGUAUGUGACCCCAUUUCAGACACGUGGAAUACAAAGGCUGAAAUUAUUUGGGACCCACAAGCGUACCUAUCCCACGUCGGGACGUGAAAGUCCAAAAUUACCCCGCACGCAGGAAAUGGGAAAUAUUAAGAGCCUUUUUUAUAUAUGUAUGGAUGAAGAGAGAAGGGGGAAAAUAAGCAUUUUAGAAAUAUAAGUCCCAUGUCAACUGAUUAUAUUUGAACAUCUUGACAAAAUUGGUCUUGAUGGGUUAUCAACACUGUGAGCCUCCGUUACAUCCCACUCGAUGCAAAGGAGUAUAAGAAGAAGGCUUUGGUCAUGUGAAAGCAACGAUCCAAUUUCAAGAUUCAAAACAUCACAAUUUCAGCACAGGGUUGUCCGCCUGAGUAGCAAUUACAUCUAAACCCUUCUCGGUAUCAGGAAUAUAGCCAAUGAAUUAAUUACACAAUAAAAUCCAAAUGAAUUAUGAUGCUUAACAUGAUAUAAGAAGUUAUAACCCGUUAUAAUAUGAUAAUCUCUCUUUAGAUGGAUCUUGAAGUUAUCUAAUCAUGAAAAUUAUUUACUAGUUUUGAUGUUUCAAUUUGAAAGCAUUAAAGCGAAAAGGAUGGCUUUUUAAAGUCCUACCAAAUAAUUUCUUUUUAAUAAUUGAGAAUAGAAAUCAAUAGUCCGAGAAAUUUUCCUUAAUGAAACAAACCAUCGUUUUUUCAUGUUCUUCUCUCCUCUCUUGGCCCCUUCUCCUACUCCACUGAUGUCGCUUUAGUGCAAGCUUCGACAACCUUUGGCAGCUUUCUAGCUCAAGGAAGGCAGCCAGCACAUGAUUCAUGAAAUCUUUAAAAAGGGAAACAUUCAAUCAAAUUUCAAUUUGUUGAGUUUUUUAAACCCGUGGUCCGUAUGCUCGUAAAACCAGAGUCUUAUAAUUUAUCAUCUCUCGAAUUGUUGAUAUGAAUGCCAAGUACCAGAAUAUGACUCCACACUUUAUUCAAUAUCAUGACUAGGUAGAAGCCACAACAAAACUAUUUGGACAUUUGCCGGAAACCAUUAAAUGAGUAGAAUCGGUAGACCAAUUCUUGCCAAUGUUAUUGUGAACAAGUUGUCUUUACUUUCAUCGAACCAUCCCAACAUGAUGGUCUAUACUUGCAAAAACGAUUGUUAUCAAGUCUUGAUUUAAGAUUAACCAACUUGAUCAAAAAACACUUUGUAACAGAAGAGUCCUCAUUAUAUGAAGCACCAUUGCCCACAAGGACCAUGAGAAUGAUUCCUUGAAAGCAAGAUGAAUUUCAGCUCAAAACUUGAUAAAAUUUAAACUCAACUUGAACUUAACCUUCACGCGACUUCAUCGACCAAGCAUGAACUCCCAAAAGUUGCCGAGAGAUUGGGCAAAUAUCCUCAAGUCUCGCACCAAAGUUCUCGCGGAACAGCUAUGCACCACCCUUUUUUCCUCACUUUUUUGUCUCUAGUGGCCGGCCAAACCAAGAGUGAAGAUGAAUGGGUAGAAUCCACGUGGCAAACUUAGAGUUGUUAACUUUUCUUUUAUAAAGAAGGGUGGUCGGCCCCUUGAAAAAAUUGCAAUUUGGUCUGUCGGGGGAUCCAAUUUUUUGAGGGCUUUUUUAAUUUUUGUCCGGUCAACUUGAUCUCAGAUGCGUAGGCAAUCUUUUGUAUCUUUGGUUUGAUUUACUGGGCGAUGAGAAGAGUGAGCUGACGUAAAUCCCUCGGUGGCUUGUGCUAAUUCGAGCCAAAUUGACAUUUAGCCAACCUAGUUAAUCUUUUAAUGCCACGGUCUGCAUUAGAAAGUAUAAUACGUUCACAAUAAUUACGAUGAGCUAUGAUUGAAGUUGAUCAAUCAAGUGUGCGUUUGAUAAUAUUUUUGUUUAGGAGAAUAAUUUCUUUUUAUAUAUUUCUAUUUCCUGAAAUAUUUUUUUAGUAAAAGAAUACGUUUGGUGACUAUACAAAAUUUAUAUUCUCGAAAUAGAAAAAGAACAAAAAUGCGUUUGGUACAACUUACGAUUUUUUUUUGUAACGUAGAUCUUUUUUUUUUGCCCUCUCUUCUUCUUCUUGCUCCUCCUCUAGCCGGUAGUGGUGGCAUUCAAUAAGCGGCAGCAACUGGUGACCCGUGGCGGCGGCCACACGAUUGGCGGCAGUGGCUGGCGGACAACGAGGGGGUGGUGGGCUGUGAGGAAGAAGAAGAAAAGGAAAGAAAAGAAAAGAAAUAAAAUAACUUAUUUGUAAAAAUUGUUUCCUGAAAUAAGAAGUUAUUUUUUUUCUAUUUCUUAUUUCUAUUUCAAAUCUAUUUUCUAGCUAAUUUUCUAUUAUGAGAAAUAGAAAAAUUAGUUGAUGUACCAAAUAGAUUUCUGUUAUUAUUUUGUUCCGGAAAACAAAAGAAUAAAAGACUAGAGAAAUUGGCAAGUUACCAUACACAUCCCAAGGAACCAUAGAAGGGAAAUAGUUGCAUGGUUCAUGGUCUAUGGACCAUAUGCAAUCACAUCCGUUGAUUUUUGUAAUUUAUAUAACUAAUGAUUUUAAUAGACCCGAUUUAUGUGACCUAAGUAUUGGCAAGUCUAAUCUUACGAAGCCUAUUUGAGUUAGGAGAGAGAAUGAACUUCCUUGAGAAAUAGAAAUGAACCUGCCUUUUCUCUUUGCUUAUGAUGAUGCAAGUCAAUCUUCAAGUCUUUGUCCAACCCUCUUGUGAAGGCAAAGGAGAAAGCACCGAAGUAUGUCUUGUCUAGUCAAUUGACUCGUUAUGCAUUGGUCUGCACAUAGUCAAAUCGCACGUCAAAUAGGCUACUAAUUCGUGUGUUCACACAGGUACACACAAAGAUGCCAACACUUACAAGUUCCGUUUGGAAAUUGGCAACCCACUCGCAAGACCGGCAAAGCGCGAUUUGAAAUUUUGGCCCUGGAAAGUACCAGGAAACUCAGGUUGAUGUUAUAAAAAAAAUCAUAUAGGUCACACCUUUGAGAAUAUAAUAUUUAAAUAAUCUCAACUUUGUUAGAAUCAUCGCGAAGGAGGAAUCACAUUUUCUUUGUGAUUUCCAUUAAAAAACAACGUCAAAUUAAGUGGACUUGAACCCAAUCCCAAAUCAACCAGUAAACGAACAAUAGAGACGAAUCAGACAAAAUCAGCUUUUGAUUUGAAUAUUAGCAUCGGUGUACAAUUUCAAUUGGCGAGCAAUUUCAUUUUGUCAUCGUUCAAUCUAGCAUUGAAGGGCAAUCAUAACAUGCAAUCCUAGUCUAUUUUCAGCUUCAUGUAACUUUAUGGCAAUAGCAAAUAAUAUCGAGUAUGAAUGGCUUUAUGAAGGGAGGCUGCAGAGGUGGCUUCCAGGCAAAUGGCGCAUAGUACCAAAGUAAUAGCAAGCGGAACUCAUUUUAACUUGUCCAGAUACAUCCAACAUCUAACCGUUCACGUUCGGCAACACGCAACUUAUACUUCCGACGCCACCUCCUCCCCUUCGACGACUUUCAUCAACUUAGCCUGAAUGCUUUUGUUUGCUUAUGAAGGAAGGUCGCUGGUGCAUUACAGUGCCUGUUACUCUAGACACAACUCGCCCGGUCUCUACUCUUUGAACAACCAAUUAUACUUUCGAUUGGUAUUGCAGGUAUAAGGAAGGCAGCACGCGAUUGAUAAAGUUGGAUUAUGGGUGCGUUUAUUUUACGAAAAAAUGAAUAAUUUAAAAAAUAUUUUUUUUAAAAAAGAUUGUUUAUAUCGCUCAAUAUAAUUAGUCAAUGAAAAAUAUUUCCAUUAUUGACAAUAAUUUAUAUCUAAAUAUUUUCAUAAAAAAUGAAAAUAUUUUUCAUUCAUUAAUUUUUAUAAGUGAUAUAAGUGUUCAUUUUUUAGAAAAAAAAUAUUUUUCAUAUCAUCCAUUUUUCGCGAAACAAACGGAGCUUAAGUUAAAAGUCAAUGUUCUAAGACAGUUAAGUGGUUCAAUUCAUAAGAAAUUAACAUUGUGCAUUCUAAGUUGCAAUAUGUAAGUGGUUCAAUUCAUAAGUUCCUCUGUUUCUGUAAUGAGUUUUCAUGCAAUAAUUUUCCUUCUUGUAGAUUCUGAGUUGAUUUUUUUUUUUUUUUUUUUUGCCUGUGAUGUUUUUUCAGUUGAAGAAACAAUUAACUACAAAUAUUCAAGAGUCGCUGGCAUGUUCAUGGUUUUAAUGAUUACUGACACUCUUUUCUGUGGCAUUUCUUUUCACUCUACUAAAAGAUUUACCUACCAAUGUUCAAAUGUAUAAAUUACGGUAGUGCGAACCUCGAGCUCAACUCCUAUUAGACAUUAGAUGCUCGGAACUCCACUCGAGGCAUGGAGUAUUCAAUUUCCAGCUUGAGCUUGACCAGAAAAAAAUGGAGAUAUCAAGCUCAAGUAGACUCGACACAAUCACGUUAUAAAAUGAGUUCAAGCUCUAGCUCAAUAUGUUCAAAUAUUAUCCUUUUCAUUUAUGUAAUUAUAUAUGUAUAUCACAACUUUUAAAUAUCUUGCCCUUUAUUUUCCAUAGCUAUCAAAUAUUUAACUGAACAAAAGAAUAGAAAGUUGAUUAAUAUGGCGAGUCUCUCAAACAGAAUAUAAUGAGCUUGAUUUGUUUGUUUUUUUGGUCGUGAAUAAAAUUCUCGUUGAUAGAUUAAGAUUUGUUUAGCUUAACGAAAGCAAAAUGGAAGUUUGGCUCCAGCAAAGAAAAACUAAUCCUUUUUAAAAAAUAUAUAUAUAUAAUUAGCAGAACAAAGCAAUUGAAAUAUGCUUUUUCUAGCCUAGAAAUAAAUGAAAAAAUUCCUCAUUCCAGAAAACAAAACAGACAAAAAAGAAUAAAGGGGAUUUAUUAUGCUUCCUUUGCGGUCACACCAAAUUUGAGUGGACCUCACAAACCAAUUGAAAUCAUCUCUUUUAUAAAUCAUACUACAUAAAUCAUCUAAUGUUAUUACAAUUCAAUGUAUGUCUAAAUGAUAAAGUACUAAGAAAAGCAUCUUGAUUGGGAUCCAAUGAUUUACACCAUGAUCGAAUUGCCCAGUUCGAAUUAGAAACAAAUCCAGGGGCUUUUGUCUUUGCUUAGAACAUACGCAAGUUCACCGUCAAGUCUUUGUCCAACCUGCUUGUUAAGGCAAUGAAAAAGCACUAAAGUACGUUUAUCUAGUCAAUUCGCUUAGCAUGCCCUGGUAUGCACAUAUCCAAAUUUCACAUCAAAUAGACUUGGCAACUCACCCACAAGACCGGCAAAACGUGUUUGGCCCAGGGAAAAUACCAGGAAACGUGGGUCGAUAUUCAUUAAAAAAAGAAAGAAAAAGAAAAGCAUAAAAACCCUCAUUCGAGAAUAAAAUGUUUCAAAAAUCUCAACUUCGUUCGCAUCAUUGUCAAGGAGGAACCAUAUUAUCUUCGCACUUUCCAUCAAGAAUCAGCUAAAGUUCAAUGAGGACUCUUUUGCUCAUUGAAAGUGAUUUAUUUUGUAAACAUAGUUUGCAAAGCAAAACUCAAAUUGCAUGAAAGAUUAAAAUGAGCAUCGACUUGAAAUUAAAGAAUAUAGAAAAAUUUAACAAUGUCCUCUAAAUUUUUUAAUAAUUAAGUCCAUUUAAAGUGUGGAAACUUCUAAGUAGGUUGGCCAACUAAAAUCGCAAAGUAAAAAAUCUAGGAAGGGCAUGUUUUGGAAAUUUUUUUGGAGUUCGUUCACGGGGUCUGAAUAUUAAGUAUGAAUCAUAGUUAAUAUUUUGUGAUCUAUUUCAUGCUCUAGAUACUCAAAUACACCCCUUGCCUAUGGCAGUGAGGGCCGGGACCCUCAUUUGUGGUCGGGAUCUUAUGAUCUAUGUCUAAAUUGUAAAACUAUAAGAUAGCAAAGCAUAUUGGCUGGUCUCUUAAAAUAUGUUAUCCAAAGCAUGCCGCUCAACUACUUCUCCAGCAUGCUGCUUAGCUCAUGGGGUUGAGAAUAUAAUGUUCUUUAAUUGAUCGCCUUCCAUAAAAUCAAAUUAAAAAAAUCAAAAUCCUUGUCCCGAUAAUAAGAGUUGUCGGUUAAGACAAUUUUUCUCUUCAAGACUUAGUCGUAACCCGUGGAUUUUUUUGGAUGGUGUUUGAGAAAGCCAAUGUGAAAUGUAAGCACCACCUCACAUAGGGUUAUAUUUGUCCGCCUAGCAAUAGGUUAAACUCUCUCGGCGUCCACUCCAGUAGGAUCGUGACAAUGUGCAUAUUCAAGAUAUGCUUGAUUCAAAGGUAAUGCUUCGUUCAUAAUGUAAAGAUGUGCAAUCAUCAAAUUUCAUAUCACAAGUCAACAUUCAGAAAUUCAAUCAAUGACAUUCAAUGAAUGGAUGUCAAGUUAUUCAAACAAAAGAAUGGAGUCAGAAUUAUCUGAAAGUUGUUUCUUUGUAAUAUUUGAGAAUAAUUAUUCGAAAAUUAGCACAUAGACUCUCGGUUCACAGAUCAAUGACGUUCGAGGACUCUAUUCAGACCAUUUGCCUUACAGCCAUUUGGUGCGAUAUGGAUCUUUUUAACUUAUCAAGGAAUGCCGCAAGUAACUUCCAGACAAAUGGAACAAAAUAUCCAAGUAAUAGUCGGUGGAACAUAUAUCAAGUUGUCCAAUACGUCCAACAUUCAAAGAACAUGCAAUCAUAUAAAAUAAUUCCGAGACAACCUCCUCGUCUUCGAAGACUAACACCAAUUAUCUCCUCACACUUAGCCUCCUAUUUGGUGCUGAGUCUGAAUGGUGUUUUUUUUUCCUCUGAUGAAGGAAGGCCCAGGUAACUUCCACGCAAGUAGUACAUGAUAACAAAGUAAUGGCAAGCGGAAAAUAUAUUGAGUUGUCCAAUACGUCCAACAUCAAACUGAACAAAUUAAUAGAAUUUUUCUGGCCAAGAAAUUAUAAUAGAAACUUGAUUAAUAUGGUGAGUCUCUCAAACAGAUAUAAAUGAGCUCGAUUUUCUUUUUGUUCAUGAAUAAAAUUCUAAUUAAAAGAUUUGAGAUCAUGCUAACACCAAGCACAAACAACUGGUUUUUUUUACCAAUACAGCACACUAGUAGGUGGAAUAAUAGCAAGAAUCAAUUGAUCAUGCCGAAUAGCACGAAUCUAGAUUGAAAAUAAGAAGAUCUGCUUUGUUUGGCUUAGCAGAAUGGAAGUUUGGCUCAGCUUUGGCUCAGAUGAGAAAAGCUAAUCCUUUUUUAACAAACAUGAUUAAUUAUCCCCACACAGGCAUGAUCAAAUAUCGCCACACAGGCAUGUUCUACACCACACGAACGGAUUAAUUGUCGCCACACAAACAUCAUCAAAUAUCGCCACAUAGGCAUGAUCAAUUAUCACCACAUAAGCAUGAUCAAUGUGAUAUAUAUUCAACAAUUUACGUGCAUUCUCUAAGGCAUCCUAUAUGCCAAAGCGAUGUAAUAAUCGCCGAGCCACGUCACACGGCAUUUCUUCUCAUCUUUUAUCAUACCAGAUAAAAUAUAGUGCGUGGGCACACGGUUGGCCUUAGCCAAAAUAUAAUAUUUUCCUUUCCAUAACUCCUACACUUUCUAUAGUCCACUAAAAUAUUUUUAGCAUUAUUAACCGAUGCCCGGCUAUUUUUCAACUAAUAACCAACCUUAUUCAAUUUAGGAAUAAAUCCCAAAUUCAUAGAUAAUUCAAUUCAGCACCAAAUAAAACUCAAUUAAAUAAAUGGACUGCGUUAUGACAAUCAGCAUAAAAUUCCGAUCGUCGACUAUCCUUGCCUAAUUUUUGGAAAAUAAAUAAUUAAUUAAUUAAUUUCGAAAAUUAAUAAAUUGAUACUAAAAACCCAAUUUAGGCCCGUAAUGCCUAAUCAGACGCUAGAACGGAUCGGGAAAAAUCCCAAGAUGCAUUCAAUAAAUAUGAGUAUGUCUCUACUUGUUAAUUACACAAACUGAUCGCCUAAUAUGCAUCAUUAAGUCACUAAUUAAAUCACUCUAAACUAAUCUAACCACCUAAUUACACUUAAUUAAAUCUAAUCAACCCUUAAGCAUCAUUAACCGACUAAUAAGGGAUCAGUGAGCAAAACUCACUUGAUUAACACGCAGGUCGGAUCAAACUGACGGGAACGUCAUGGGGGACAUUUUUCUCCAAAGCGGGCCUAGGGUCCGGGGCUCACAAGCACCUCAAAACGGCUUCCAAAGCUUGCUAUAAACCCACUAUUUUUCUUGCUGUUCUUGGCUGGAAUUGAAGGGAAAUCAACUCUGUUUAGGCAGGAAUUGCUCGGGAAUGUAAGAAUAGGCCAAAUCGGGCCUAAAGGAGGAUUCACAAGGGUUAAAUGAGCUCGGGACAGCCCCUGGUGAGCUGCAACAAAACCAGGACAGCAGCUGGGAGGCGAGAGGGAUGCAGCCAAGGGACGGUGUGUGCAGGCGGCGGCGCGUGAACCUGCGACGGCGAGGCGGCGAUCCGGCGUGAGGCAGCUGCAGCUUCUUCUUUGCUGCUGGUUUUGUCCAAAAUGAAGAGAGAAUGGAGUGGAUGGCAAGAAGAAGGAGAGAAGGAAAGGAGUGUGGAGGAAGCUUGGCCUUGGUGGGUCCUUUGGCCAAUUUUUUCCCACCAAGUUGUCUCCCAAAUACUUGCCCAUCGAAUGGUCCAUUUUGCUAGGCUAUGGGGGUAGUUACGAAUUUGGCACAAAUCUUUCUCAAUUGGACACCAUUCCUCACUCAAUUCAAUUCAUUGCCGUUUAAAAUUCAAUGACAUCUCAAUGCCUCCACUGAUAAUUUCCUCACCCAAUAUCCAUCUGCAUCUCAAAUUGCAACUAAAAAUAAUCAUCGGCCUUGAUUGAACAAAAACGGUCAUAAACCGACUUUUUCCUAAAAAGUCUCGGUUGUCAGAAAAAUCUUCUGAGACUGAGUCAUGGGUCUUAGAAUUUAUUGUGACAUGACAUGAUUUUCAAUUUCUAAAAUUGGACUUGAAUUGGCGGUUAAUUUCCAUCCAACGCGUUUUUAGCGUAACUUAGGCUAUCGGGUAGUUUUCAAAACUUUUUAAGGCAAAUGACCCGUGGUUGAUUUUCUUCGAACCACUAUGAACCCACUCGACACAUUGACGACUCGUGGUUGUUGUGAAAAUCUCGAUGAUUCAAAUACGGACACAAGACACCAAAAUGACAAUAAAAUCAAAUUAGUGUCGAUCGAUGAGAAUUUCCCAAUUUAACGGUAUCACCCACGAUCGGCCACACAUCUUAGUCGAAUCGACCUAUCUCUGAUCUCAAAUUGAUUUUAUAUUAUGCCGUAAUGACUUCUAAAGAUGAGCACGAUCGAGAAGCCGAUUCUUGGUUGAAUUCUCCAGUCUAUUGCCUUAAAAUUUCUUAAUGACUUCCCCAGAUAGUCUAGUUAUCUCCUGAGUGGCCAUCUUAGAGAAAGCAUUAUAGGCGCAUCAAUGAAAUGUUCGAUUUAUUCAGUAGAAAACAGGACUGAAAAUCUAGGAUGUCACAACUCUCCCCCUCUUAUAAAAAUUUCAUCCUCGAAAUUUAAACAUUUACCAAUCCCUAAACAAAAAGGUGGGGGUAUCGUCGUCUCAUCUAGUCUCACUUUCCCCGGUUGCUUCUUUAGUCUGGUGGCAUUGUCAGACCACUUUGACCAAGGGGACUAUCUUGGUUCACCGAAUCUGUUUUGAACCACAAUAUGAACUGGGCUUUUCACGUACAACACUCUGUCUUCCACGUCUAAUUCUUCAAGAUUUAGCACGUGGGUCUAGUCAGGUUCAUACGUCCUCAACCUCAAAAUGUGAAAGGCGUCAUGCACUUGUGCCUACCUCGGCGACGACGCAAGAUAAUAUGUUCGGAUCCCGAUUCUUUUCAGAAUCUCAAAGGAACCUACUUACCUCGAUUUAAGUUUUCCCCCUCAUUGUCGAAGCGCAAGGUAUCCCUCAUUAGUGACACCUUCAGAAAGAUGUAAUCACCAAUUUGGAACUCUAAGGGCCUUCAAUACUCAACGAUACAACUUUUCUGGCAGCUCUGAACGGUCUUUAAUCUGUUUUUGAUCACGGCAACUGCAAUCACUAAUUGCUGAAUUGACUCUGGGCCUGUGAUAUUUCUUUUUCUGAUCUCAUCUCAACAAACUGGAGUUCUGUACACUCUGCUAUGUCCUGCCUCAAAAGGAACUAUCUAACUGUUCUGCUGAAACUGGGAACCUCGGUUCUAGAUCUAAUAUAAGUUCGUCACUAAUACUCCAUGCAAACGAACUGUCUGACACACACACACUUUUGUACGCCUAUUCCAAUCAAGAUCCUUUCAUACGGCGAUAAAGUGAGCCGACUUCAUCAGUCUGUCGAUCACUACCUCAAUUGGAGUGAUUAUUCCUCUGACUUCUUGGUAAACCUAUCACAACAUUCCAUCGUGAUAUACUUCCCUUCCCACUCGGGACUCUCGAGUGAUUGUAAAUGCCCUCUCGGUUUGCAUUAAGGAACUUUCACUUACUAGCACAUCUGACACUCACAACCUGUUCGACGGCAAUUAUCUUCAUAUCGAUCUACCAAUCGAGCUGACGUUGAUUCUGACCUACCUCACACUGUAUGUCAAAUACUGCAACUACUACCAUGAAUUCCUAAGUCUCUUCCUUGAGUGUUACAUCAUCAGGUACACCCAAUCACUCUCAGAACCUCAGUGUUCCAUCCUUAGAAAUCUCAAAGUCAGUCUCUUUCUUAUCAGUAUUCUUCUAUAGGAUUUUUUUGACAUCUGGGUCCACCAACUGAAACGUCUUGAUCCUGAAUUAAACAUUCGGUUCAAUUCUGAGGGUGGCCAUAAAAUUCAAAAGGUGGCCUACCUCAAAUUUGAAAACCAAAUUUCGAACCCUUUUCAAGUAAGGUCAAUUCCUUAACCAGCAUACGAGCAACUGAAGAUUCUUGACUCAACACAUUUGCGAACUUAUUUGCUGUUCCGGGGUGAUACCAGAUAUCACCAUCCUAAUCUUUUAAAAGUUCCGAUUCACGACAAUGUCUCAUACUCAACUCCUUCUAAGAUAAUAAAUACCGGAGACUUUAAUAGUCGAUGAAGAUCUGGAAUUUCUCUUCAUACCAAUGAUGUCUUAAAAUCAUUAGAGCGAAAAUUAUUGCUGCGAGUCCUAAGUCAUGCAUCGGGUAGUUCAACUCAUAAGGUCUCAACUAGCGGGACGCGUAUGUAACAAUCCUAUCAUGUUACAUCAGCAUGCAACUCAGUCUUCUGUAGUAAUCUGUCCAAUCCAUCCGGCUUUUGGUCUCUAAUACUGUUGUCGGUCUUGGUCAAUUAAUCAUGGCUUCAAUCUUGCUCGGGUUCACUGAAAUUCCUUCACCUGAGAUCACAUGCCCUAAGAAAGUAACACGAGUUAGCCAAAACUCGCACUUGCUAAACUUAGUGUACAACUGAUGAACUAUCAGCUUUUGCAGCACUAAUCUCAAAAGAUUCUCAUGCUCUCCAUCACUUCUCGAAUAUACCAGAAUAUCAUCAAUGAACACGAUCACAAACUGAUCUAGGUAUUCCUUGAAUACCCUGUUCAUCAAAUCCAUGAAGGCAGUUGAAGCAUUCGUCAACCCGAACGGCAUUACUGUGAACUCGUAAUGAUCAUACCAAGUACGAAAUGCUGACUUAGGAAUAUCCUCCUUCUUAAUUCUUAGUUGGUGAUAUCCUAUCCUCAAGUCGAUCUUUGAAAAUAUUGACUCCUUGUAACUGAUCAAACAAGUCAUCAAUCCUCUGCAGUAGAUACUUGUUGUUGAUUGUUACCUGAUUGAGUUGCCGAUAGUUGAUGCCUAAGAGCAACGAACCAUCUUUCUUCUUCAAAAACAAAACUGGUGCUCCCCAAGGUGAUGCACUAGGGCGGAUAAAUUUCUUAUCCAAUAACUCUUGCACCUGCACCUUCAGUUCUUUCAACUUAGAUAACGUCAUCCGGUAAGAAGCCUUAGAGAGUGACUCUGUCCCGAGUGCUAGUUCGUUCGCAAAUUCUAUCUCUUUCUCUAACGAUGGCCUGACAAUUCUUGUGACAACACAUCUAGAAAUUCUUGGACUACUGAGAUGUCCUCAACGUUCAGUUCUUCAAUUUGUCUUAUCUAUGACAACCGCCAAGUAUCCUUGGCAAUCUCCGUCUAAUUAAUAGGUUGCCUUCGGCCAACGAGAUUAAUGAAAUCGAAGAUUCUUUUCAACUCCUAAUAACCUCGAUGCUUUCACAUGCUAAUGGACUAAAUUGGAUUUCUCCAUGACCAUAAUUCAUUACCACAAGGUGCUUCAUGAGCCCACUCUACUCAUGUGGCGUCCAAAUUAUAUUUGAACAACUAGUCAAACACGACUAUAACUAGUGUUUCCCCUUUCUUCCACUUUAUUUCAACUAACUGAAAUUCUGCAAAUUCAGUCCAAGGUUUUGCUGUUCUACUCUGAUAAAAUCUCCCCAUGAACAUUCUUCUUCUAAUUGGUGUAGGGUUGAUUCCAUUCUUGUUCCUUUCGCCAUCCUAAUGGCGUCCUAUCUCUGGUAGUGGUAUCUGUGCUCCUUUGGAUUCUCACUGGUAGUCUUUCACCUAAUGGUCGUGCAGGUCAUAAUUACAACAUGUUCUAGUCAUUCUUGAACACUGGAUUUAUCCAUGUUUCCUUCUACAAAUCUGACACCUAUCUAGUGUGUCUUCUAUCUCCUAUUAGGUGACAGCAUGCACUCUUUUUGGUACCAAAGGUCUAAUCCAAAACUCCACUGUGCGUUCUAUGGCGCACUUCAUUUGAUCUGUCCCAUCGGCCUUCUAGGACUGUCUCCGGCCAGGUAACCCUGUUGGCUAUACUUGAAACAAAUUUUUGUCCUAAGAAAACAUAAGGCCAAUCUUUGCCGCCACGCACGGGAACAACAUGUUCCAUUUUGACUCAGUGCUGACCUAACUGUCCCACCCUUCCUAUUGGGUGGAAUAGAAUACUUUUCUCUUAACAUCAGUCUUUUCCCCGACCAAUUUCCAUCUCUGCUUGAACUGGAUCUAUACCUCGACUUGGAUGCAACGGCUCAUUCCCAGAUCAUAUCUUCACACUAGAGCUCAGCAUGUGUGGCAACAACGGCGGUUGCGGCACUGACGGCAGUAGUGAUAGCAACAAUAGCGGCAGCUCAGUCCUAAGCUUGUUGGCUCAAUCAAUUCCAAGGACACUAGCACCUGAACGAUCCCAUCAAACUUAGGAUCACUUGGUGCUGCUACACUAGUACCGGCCUACAACGGUACUCUUACACUCGCGUUGGCCUGAGCCAAUGCUCUGCCACAACUGCCUCGGGCACCGAUCCUUGUUGGUGUUCCACCCCGAGUCACAGAGGUUACAAGCCUCUUACUAGGAGUCCUCAGCUCCUGAUCACUCAUGCUACAUGAUCUUUAUAGAAAUAUGUUUUCUAAUUCUAAUACCAUAUUAGAAUUUGAGUGACCCACACAAACAAGCUACCAAUAAGCUAGCAUCAACAUGCACCAGCAUGAAUUUAAAUGCUUUUCCCACUACUAUCCCAUGGUCCAACGCACCUUAUCACUCAAAUCCCUAACGACCAUGCUCUGAUACCACAUAAUGGGGAUGUCAUGCCUCGAUCCUCGGGCAUGCACCCAUCCUUGACCUUGGUCAAUUAAUAGCAACGUCCUAGGAUGAAACAUUGACCCUUUCUUUUUAAUAUGCACAUGUGGAAGUAAUUAUAAAUCCCCAGACAAUAAAACAAUGGGAUAGGAAAGUAGGGCUAUAUUUUUCUCAAAUGAAAAACCAUAACCACACUUUUAUACCAGGCAAACCUCAUAGUAUAUAUUAUAAUACUAUUAACAAGAGUCUGAUCUAUCUCAUAACACUUCACACUCAGGGUUUGCAAAAUAGGGUGGGGUCUCAAUCCUCAUCCGGGUCAUAAUACUCCGGAUCAUCCUCGGAAUCCUCCUUGGACUUCUCCUCCGGUUCCUCAUCAGGGUCCUCUUCGGUUUCUUCUUCCUCAAGUUCCUCUUGAAAUGUUUUUCCACAACCGGGCUGAGACUAUGUCUCAGUAAGUUCUACCCCCUAAGACCCGAUUAGUAAGAAAAUACGCCUUAGGGGCUACCUAAGCACAACCACACAACUUGAACAUGCAAUUGUCGAUUCGCAUACAUCCUUACCUAGUAUGCCAUAGCCUGCACGUUAUAAUUCAGCAUGAUACACGCAAUGCACAUGGCCAUUAGAUGAUGCAAUCAUCAAUCACAUGAGUCACGUCACAAGUGACCUUACCUGGCUAUUGCCACACCCUGCACGUCAUUGAUUCACAAGUGCCAUAAACGAUGUGCUUAACUCAUGCCUUUAAAUUAAUUUCAGCCACACAGGCACAAUACCCAACACACAGAAAUACAGCCUAAUAGGCUCGACAUUACACCACACAAGCACGUUCCAAGCCACACAGGCCUGAUGUUACGCCACACAUGCAUGAUCUAUUUUCGCCGCACAGGAAUGUUCUACACCACAUGAACAUGAUUAAGUAUCGCCACACAUGCGUGAUCAAAUAUUGCCACAAAAGCAUGUUCUACACCACACGAACAUGAUAAAUUAUCGCCACACAGGCAUGAUUAAUUAUCCCCACACAGGCAUGAUCAAUGUGAUAUAUAUUCAACAAUUUACGUGCAUUCUCUAAGACAUCCUAUAUGCCAAAGCGAUGUAAUAAUCGCCGAGCCACGUCACACGGCAUUUCUUCUCAUCUUUUAUCAUACCCGAUAAAAUAUCAUGCGUGGGCACACAAUUGGUCUUAGCCAAAAUAUAAUAUUUUCCUUUCCAUAACUCUUACAUUUUCUAUAGUCCACUAAAAUAAUUAUGGCAUUAUUAACCGAUGCCCAGUUAUUUUUCAACUAAUAACCAACCUUAUUCAAUUUAGGAAUAAAUCUCAAAUUCACAGAUAAUUCAAUUCAGCACCAAAUAAAGCUCAAUUAAAUAAACAGAUUGCGCCAUGACAAUCAGCAUAAGAUUCUGGUCGUUGACUAUCCCUGCCUAAUUUUCGAAAAAAUAAAUAAAUAAAUAAAUAAUUUCAAAAAUUAAUAAAUAAAUACUAAAAAUCCAAUUUAGGCUUGUAAUGCCUAAUUGGACGCCAGAAUGGAUCAAGAAAAAUCCCGAGAUGCAUUCAAUAAAUACGAGUAUGUCUCUACUUGCUAAUUACACAAAUCAAUUGCCUAAUAUGCAUCAUUAAGUCACUAAUUAAAUUACUCUAAACUAAUUUAACCACCUAAUUGGACUUAAUUAAAUCUAAUCGACCCUUAAGAAUCAUUAACCGACUAAUAAGGGAUUAGUGAGCAAAACUCACUUGAUUAACGUGCGAGUCGGAUCAAACCGACGGGAACGUUGCAGGGGACGUUUUUCUCCAAAGCGGGCCUAAAGUCCGAGGCCCGCAAGCACCUCAAAAUGGCCUCCAAAGCUUGCUGGAAACCCACUAUUUUUCUUGCUGUUCUUGGCUGGAAUUGAAGGGAAAUCAACUCGGUUUAGGUGGGAAUUGCUCGAGAAUGUAAGAAUAGGCCAAAUUGGGCCUAGAGGAGGACUCACGGGGGUUCAACGAGCUUGGGACAGCCCCGGGUGAGCUUCAACAGAAUCGGGACAGCAGCUGGGAGGUGAGAGGGUGGCGGCCAAGGGGCGGUGUGUGUGGGUGCUACGCACGGGGCGGCGGCGCGCAAACUGGCGACGAUGAGGCGGCGAUCCGGCAUGAGGCGGCUGCAGCUUCUUCUUUGCUGUUGGUUUUGUCUAAAAUGAAGAGAGAAUGGAGUGGAUGGCAAGAAGAAGGAGAGAAGGAAAGUAGUGUGGAGGAAGCUUGGCCUUGGUGGGUCCUUUGGCCAAUUUUUUUCCACCAAGUUGUCUCCCAAAUACUUGCCCAUCAAGCCAAUAAUCCAUGGCUGUCAUUGAUCCACCAAAUGGUCCAUUUUGCUAGGCCAUGGGGGGAGUUAUGAAUUUGACACAAAUCUUUCUCAAUUGGACACCGUUCCUCACUCAAUUCAAUUUCAUUUGGCCUUUAAAAAUUCAAUUGACAUCUCAAUGCCUCUAUUAUAAUUUUCCUCACCCAAUAAUCCAUCUUGCAUCUCAAAUUUGCAACUAAAAAUAAUCCUCGGCCUUGAUUGAACAAAAAGGUCAUAAACCGACUUUUUCCCAAAAAGUCUCGGUUGUUAGAAAAAUCCUCUGAGACUAAGUCGUGGGUCAUAGAAUUUAUUGUGACAUGACAGAAUCUUCAAUUUCUGAAAUCGGACUUGAAUUAGCGGUUAAUUUCCAUUCGGCACAUUUUUAGCGUGACCUAGGCUACCGGGUAGUUUUCAGAAAUUUUUAGGGCAAAUGACCCGUGGUCGAUUUUCUUCAAACCACUAUGAACCUACUCGACACAUUGGCGACUCUCAGUUGUCGUGAAAAUCUCGAAGGUUCAAAUACGAACAUAGGGCACCAAAACGACAAUAAAAUCAAAUUAGUGUCGGUCGAUGAGAAUUUCUCAAUUUAGUGGCAUCACCCACGAUCGGCCACACAUCUCAGUCGAACGGACCUAUCUUUGAUCUCAAAUCGAUUUUAUACUGUGUCGUAAUGAUCUCUAAAGAUGAGCACGGUCGAGAAGCCGAUUCUUGGUCAAAUUCUCCAAUCUAUUGCCUUAAAAUUUCUUAAUGGCUUCCCCAUAUAGUUUAGUUAUCUCAUUAGUGGCCAUCUCAGAGAAAAGCACUAUAGGCACAUCAAUGAAAUGUACGGUUUAUUUAGUAGAAAAUAGGAUUGAAAAUUUGGGAUGUCACAUGUGUUGCUGGGCUUGUUGCCGUGGAGAGAAUGCUGGUUCGGUGGAGUCUUGCUGGAGUGUGUUGACCAGGCAAAAUGGCAGAUGUGGACUUCGUCGGGGAAGCUAUCUCGACGGGAAAAUUAAGAACAAGCUGUAGGACAAUUGGGGGCAAAAGAUGGUGGAGAUGGCAGAACAUGUGCAGGGAAAAUGAAGGUGAAAGAGAAGCUAUCCAGGGGGCUGGCGGAGCGGGUGUAGGCAAGAGAGAAAAGGUGAGGGGCAGCUGGCAACGUGCGAAUAAAAGAGAGGAGGGAGAGUGGGGCUUCGGCAAGGAGACCAGAGGAUAAGUAUGACUCAAAAAGUCAAAGAAGUGGGGAAAGAUGGUGGGACACGACAUAGGAGCUGUCAGUUUGGGGGGGAAAACGUGGGAGUGAGAGAGAGAGAAAAAGGAAGGGAGAGACGUGCGGUCGAAGGGGGGGGGGGGGUGGGAAAGAAGUAAAAAAAAAAGGAAAUUCCCAUAACCAUAAUUCUUGGUCACACUUGCUCUUAUUUAAUCCAAUCUAGUCCCAAAAAAUCUCCAUGCCAAAAUACUUAAUCCUCACUUACUUUGUUGCACCAAAUUUCCCCCAAAUAACAAGUCUUGGGCAACAAAAACGGCUAUUUCCCUCAAUUCCGAAUUCUAUGUCUUUUUUUUUCCUCGGAAUCCAUUUACUGAACAAACCUCUCAGAUUGAGGUCCAAUUUCGUUGAAGAAAAAGCCUACACAACUUCCUUUCACCAAGUAGUUCACACAGAGGCCAAAUCUCUUCAAUUUGGCCAAUCCGAAUUUCCGUUCGUUUUUCGAAUCGUUCCGAAUCGACUUUUCGUAAAAAUCCUAAACUCACCGAAAAUUCCUCGAAAAAUGAGUCGAUGUUCCUAAAAUGGCUUGUGUCACGACAGAACUUUCAAUUUCUGAAAUUGGAUUCAAAUUCGCGGUUAAUUUCAAUCCGACAUGAUUUUAGCGUGACCUAGGCUACCGGGUAAUUUUCAUAAAUUUUUAAUGCAAAUGACCCUUGAUCGAUUCUCUUUGAGCCACAACGAACCUCUUUGACACUUUGGCAACUCUCAAUUGUCGUGAAAAUCUUGAUAUUUCAAUUACGGACACAGGGUACCAAAACGAUAGAAAAAUUAGUCUAGUAUCGGUCGACGAGAAUUUUGUAGUUUAGUGAAAUCACCCACGCUUAGCCACAUAUCCUAGUCGAACUGACAUAUCUCUGAUCUUUAAGCGAUUUUUAACUGUGCUGUAAUGAUCUUUGCAAAUGAGCAUGGUCGAGUAAUCGAUUUCUAUCUAUUGCAUUAAAAUUCUUUUAUGACUUCCUCAGAUAGUCUAGUUAUCUCAGGAGUGAUCAGCUCUGAAAAUAACACUAUAGAUGCGUCGAUGAAAGGCCCGAUUAAUUUAAUUGAAAGCAGAACGGAAAAAUUCAAUAUGUCACAUUUUGGAAGUCUAAUUGAGGGGAGGCUUACACAACUAAAACUAGUUGUACAAAAAUUCAAUCCAAUAAAUUACUUUUUUUAUGUCAAACAACUUGAAUUAGUGUUCUGGACAAAGAAACAAAGUAAUGGCGAGAGUAGCACGUCGAGAGUAGCACGUGACUUUUCCUGCCAAGACUUUCAUUAAUUAUUUCUUCAACUAGUUGGUGCGAGUCUGAAAUUUUUUUUUUCCCUUUUAUUUUUAUUUUUUAUUUUUUUAUAUACAUGAAGGAAGGCCGCAGGUGACUUCCAGGCAAUAGAGCUUAGUAACAAUGUAAUAAUAAUAUAUAUUUCUGAGACCACGUCCGAGGACGACGACUUCCAUCAGUUCUUUCCUAUUUAGUGCGAUCCGUGUGGCCCUUCUUUUAAGCUUAUGAAGGAAGGCUGCAAGUGACUUCCAGGCAAAGGAUUAUUUCCUCAACUGAGCGAUCUCACUCUGUUUGCGUGGGGGCUUUUAGGCCAAGGAGCAAACGGGAAAAGGUAAGGAAAGUUCCAUUAGAUGUUUGCGUGGGGAAGAGCUUCAUUUUUUAGUUGGACUGUUGUUUCCAAGACCAAACAGACUUGCCUAUUUGUAGGCUCGUUUCGACUGUCGUUCUUCAGUUAAUUUCUCUGAACAUUGUCUCUGCUUGUUCUUUUCGCAUGCUGAAUAUUUUAUUAGCCAUUAUUUUUAACUAUCACAAAUUAAGCUAGAGAUCACCAACUACAACUACCAACUAGAGACUUGAAUCUUACAGAAGUCUAGCAGUUUCUAGAAAUUUGAUCAAGACGUCCGUAGCUUUAUCAAGUUGUUUCAAGGAUCAGACUCAAGACUUCCCGAGUCACCCCGCAGACUCGAUUCUGAGAUCAAUAACUCCAUUGUCCUCUUGGAAUGAACAGAAAUAGUGAGGCAGAAGAGACGGUGGCACCCGCGGCGACAGCGAUGGAGGUGGCGACAGCAGCUCCGGCAAGCAGCAGUCAUGAUGGUGGAUCGGAGAGGGGCCUGAUGGCGGUGGCAACGGCAGCUCUAACGAGCAAUAGCCAUGAUGGCAGAUUGGGGAGGACCCAUGAGGUAUUCCUGAGUUUUAGAGGACCUGACACCCGUUUAACCAUUGUGGAUUCCCUGUACAAAGCCAUUGAACAUGCAGCAAUCAGUGUUUUCAAAGAUGACGAAGAGCUCCGAGUCGGUAAAGAGAUUGGAGGUAAUCUUAUGCAAGCAAUCAAUGAAUCCAGAAUUUACAUCCCGAUUUUCUCCAAAAACUACGCUUCAAGUAAGUGGUGCCUCCGUGAGCUCGCACACAUAAUGAAGUUAUCGAGAGACGACAUUGAGAAAGUGAUACUCCCUAUAUUCUAUGAUGUGGAUGCGGAUGAUGUUAAGCUUAAGACUGAAUUAUAUAGGACAGCCCUCCAAAUUCACGAGAGUGACUCUGGGAAGGAUAUGGCAAAGCAGUGGGAGGAGGCUUUAAGAGAGGUUGCUGGAAUUAAAGGAUGGAAUCUAAAAGAUUACGGGUAUUGUUAGCUUCUUCCAUUAAGUUUAUUUUCAUUUCGUCAAUUUCGAAAUUAUAUUCUAUGAUACUUUUUCCAGAGUAAUAACUUUCAGUUUGCUGCUGUCGAAUCUUAUAUGAUGUAUGGUUGAUCGGCCGCAGUGAGGGAGGCAGAAAUUUUGCUCAGGGAGCAAGGUUUCUUGCAUAAAUUGACUUUUCACUUUUAAUCCCAAGUUUUGAUAACAAUAGUAUCAAGAUAUGUCAACUUAAUUAAUCAAUCAUUAAUGCAAAAAGAAUAUUUAUGAAAAUCUAAGAGUUGAUGAAAUAAUAAGACAACAUAUGUGUGAAAAAUAAAAAUUUAAAUCUCUUAACUUUGCAGCUCACUUUUCGGCUAGCAAAAUGCUUUUAAAAAAACUUCGGUCAUUUCUCUUGCUUUGACCUAUUCACGGCCCCUGAUUGUACUUAGGGCACCACAGGGUACGGAUUUCCUUUGCCUUGUGACCAUCCUAGUUUUAAAGUUGUCAACUUUUAUAUGAAAGUACUUAUCUUAAUUUGUGUCUUACCAACUUCUUUUCGAUUAACUAAUUUUAGGUUACCAGCGUUUAUUUAAGUCAUUUAUUAAGUUUAAUUGAUUGUUUGCCGAUUUACAAAUUUUAUAGAAUCUACCAUCUCUUAUUUGAAUUGUUUACUUCACAUUUCAAAGUUACCAAUACUUGAAACAAAUCAAUAACCCUAAUGUGAGUUUCAUACUAACGAAUCUCUAAUUAAGUUACUAGCUAAUUUAAGUUACCCAUUCCUAUGUGAACCACUUAUCAAUAUUUAUAUUUUGUUGAAAAUUCCACCUUUUGUAACAAACUUUUGUUAUCAACGGACCCACUUUUAUUAGCAUAGUUCACAAACAUUCUGAGGUUAGGAACUCAAUUAUCAAAUUACCAAGCAUGUAAUUUGAGUUACUUACCAACUUAUUCUGAUUAAAUUACCAACAAAUUUAAUGUGACUGAUGAAAUCACUAAGUUAAACCAGUUGGUAGCUUAUUCAGAAAAAUGAUUGUUGGCAACUCAAAUGAAGGCUGAUAAAUACUCUGAAAGUGUUCCUCAUAUUUUCGGUUACUACCCUAUUACUCGGGUACAUUAAGAAAAAUGCUUUUGAGCUUUUAUUCUUGUUUUUUAAAUUCCAGGUAACUGCCUAGUGAGAAAAUCUUUUUCUUUUAUGUCAAUCUUCAAACUCAUCUUUAGUGGCUGAAGAGAUAAAAAAGACCGGGUUCACCGAGGAAUUCUAGUCAAAGCCCAAUUAGACCUUCGUCAUGAAAUAACCUUUUUCCUACCAUUAACCAGACCAAAGAGUCCUGACGGGAGCUGCUUUUUUUUUUUUUUUUGGUGGCAAACGGCUCGCAGCAUGAAUGAUCACUCAUUUCAUGUUGGUUGCUUUCAAAGUCAAUUACUUUAAAAUUUGAUGAUAACCAUCUAGUGACACGUUAUGCAGGCAUAGAUUCCAUAUGUGAUUUUUUUUAAUCUGACAUGAUUGCAUGUUAUGUAUGUGGCAGCCUAUAUAAACUUACAAACCUCAUGGUGGAAGAGGUUUCAAAUUUGCUAUGGACAAGACGAAGAGACAUGUCUAAUCAUUUGGUGGGAAUUAAAGAUCGAAUGGAUCACAUUAUGAAGCUAUUAGAUGUAGGAGCUUUUGAUGUACGAUUUAUUGUGAUUCAUGGUAUGGGUGGCAUUGGAAAAACGACACUAGCCGAGGCCGUCUUCAAGCAAAUCUACCCUCAAUUUCGGGAUCAUUGCUGUUUUCUCAAAGAUGUUCGAACUCAUGAUAUAAUAGGUUUACAAAAGAAAUUGCUGUUUGACAUUCUCAAUCUUAGUUGCACAAACCCCUUCUUCAUUGAUGAAGUGAUCAAGACAAGGUUUCUUGGCAAGAAAGUCCUCGUUGUUCUUGAUGACAUUGACAACUGGGACCAAAUCAUGAGACUUGUAGGCGAGCCCAACUGGUUUGGUGGGGGUAGUAGAAUCAUCAUAACAACAAGGAAUAUUGAAUUCCUGGUAAAGGAAGGUGAGGAUGACAAUCUCCCAAUCUCUAAUAGCGGACAAUUUUCAUUCUACGAUAUGCCGGAGAUGAAUUCACAUGAUGCUCUUCAACUUUUCUAUGCGCGUGCCUUGGGACAUGCCAAGCCUCUGCCUAGUUGCAUGGAUAUCACAAAAAAGCUAAUCAAUGCACUAGGAGGACUUCCAUUGGCUCUCAAUGUCGUAGGUUCCACGCUCCGUGGAAAAUGCCGAAGAACAUGGGAAGACACUCUAUGUAAGUUAAAGAAGGUGAUGAAUGAGGAUGUCAAGAAGAAGUUGAUGAUAAGCUACGAAGCAUUGGGAACUAAUCAACGGCAAAUUUUUCUUGAUAUCGCAUGUUUCUGCUUCAACAAAGAGAAAACAACUGCAGUUAAAUAUUGGGAUGCAAUUUUUGGGUAUCCUACCGAAAUUGAGGUCAAUAGCCUUAAACGUAUGUCUCUGAUAAAAAUAUCGAACGAUAAUAAACUAUGGAUGCACGACCAACUUAGAGACCUUGGAAGGAGUAUCAUCCAUCCAGAAAGUGGCGAAAUCCAUAUGAAGGGUAGCAGAUUGUGGUCUCCCAAGGAUGCCUUCCGUGUAGUGCAGACAAAAACGGUAAUCUUUACCUCUAAAUGUUUUCCAGUGCAUCCAUUAGCAUCACCACCUUUUUUUUUUCAUCUAAUUUCAAUUCAAAGUGACAUGUACUCAUUGGUUGGUACUUUUGUUUUAUAGGGAACCAAAGACAUAGUGGCGCUCAAUCUUGGUACACCCGACUCCAAUAAGACAUAUAGAUUUAAGCACAAGCAAUUUGUGGGCUUGGUCAACCUUAGGUUCCUUCAAUUGGACCAUGGAAACUUUGAAGGAGACUUUAAGAAUGUUUUCUUUGAUUUGAGAUGGCUCUCUUGGAGCAAUUGCCCAUCAAAAUUCCGUGCUAGCAACUUUGGGUUGAAGAAUUUAACGAUUCUCAUGCUAUCUGGGAAUAACAUUACUGAAGAUUGGGGAGGGUGGUGUCAAAUCAUGGUAUGAUCUCACGACAUCCUUUUGCAUUAUAUUUACUCUUCCUCUUUUCUAAGUGUCUACUCAAUUACUUUAUAGGUAGCAAAACAAUUGAAAAUCCUACAGCUCGAGGAUUGUCCAUUCCUUAGAAAGACACCCAAGUUCUUUGCAAUCUCGCAAUUGGAGAAAUUGAUUCUUAGAUGCCUUCGACUAAGGAAGAUUGACAAGUCCAUCGGCAAUCUAAAACAUCUUGAUUACCUAGAGAUAAAGAGUGAAGCUAUUGAGUCACUACCGGAGUCCAUCGGCGGUCUAAAAUCUUUGACAGUGCUAAGAAUAGA
RNAcentral lists this long non-coding RNA (43608 nucleotides) under Eucalyptus grandis. Its description in RNAcentral is "long non-coding RNA (EGRA_LNC002410)". The record is from RNAcentral. Lineage: Eukaryota; Viridiplantae; Streptophyta; Magnoliopsida; Myrtales; Myrtaceae.